UUUUACCAUGUUAAGUAUGAUUUUGUAUUCACCAUCAAUAUGUUGUGUCUUGUGAUGUUGUGUGAAACUUCGUCAUGUCUUGUUUGUGCUUAUCUCAAUGCCUAAAAAACCAUGUUUAAUAUUGUCAUCCAUACCUUGUAAUUUCCAUUGUAUUUAGCCAUAUUUUAUGCCUUAAUGUUAAUGCAUGUUCAACCUUGUCAUUUUGCAUGUGUGUGUGUUCAUCUACAUUCUAU
RNAcentral lists this long non-coding RNA (233 nucleotides) under Lathyrus oleraceus (garden pea). Its description in RNAcentral is "Pisum sativum (pea) long non-coding RNA (PSAT_LNC015812)". Lineage: Eukaryota; Viridiplantae; Streptophyta; Magnoliopsida; Fabales; Fabaceae. The record is from RNAcentral.